AAGUCGUAACAAGGUUUCUGUAGGUGAACCUGCAGAAGGAUCAUUAGUGAAGAUUCAAGGGCCAGCCAUACAGACGUACAAUAAGUGUGUCUCUGGCGGCUCGCAUCCACUAUACAUCCAUAAACCCGUGUGCACUGUUCUAAGGAGUAAGAAAGAAGAAGGGGAGGGGAGAGAGAGUGCAUGUGCUUUGCAUAUAACUCUCUCUCACUCUCCACUCUCUUUCUCUCUCCGGUUAAUUACAAACUCGUAUGGAUUUGUAUGAACGUGAGAUAUAUCGUUGGACCGUCACUGGCCAACAAAUAUAACACAACUUUCGACAACGGAUCUCUUGGUUCUC
RNAcentral lists this unclassified non-coding RNA (337 nucleotides) under Malassezia sp. RNAcentral's name for it is "partial contains small subunit ribosomal RNA, internal transcribed spacer 1, and 5.8S ribosomal RNA". The stretch from base 1 to 46 matches the Rfam family "Eukaryotic small subunit ribosomal RNA", at positions 1786 to 1831 of the family's 1831-position model. The record is from RNAcentral. Lineage: Eukaryota; Fungi; Basidiomycota; Malasseziomycetes; Malasseziales; Malasseziaceae. RNAcentral also lists the same sequence under 1 other name.